GAGCGGGAAGAAACGGUUUUCUAACCUUGAACAACUCCUUGAAGUAAGGGCUGCAAGCGGAUAGGACGACCUUGUGAGCCUGAAGUCGCCUGCCAUCGCAGGCGAAUGUAACGUCGACGAAGUCCUCAUCGUCUCGCAACGCCUCGAACUGGCUCGUGAUGUUCGCCUGAAAGUUGUUCCACCGCAAGCAAAACUGCUGCUGGCUAUCCGUCAUUCUCUAUUUCACUCGACUCCCUCAAAAACACCUGUGAUCACACAUCGAGGGAAGGUUUAUUUUUCUUUCUCUUUUUCUUUCUUUCUUUCUUUCGUUCUUUCGUUCGUUCUUUCUUUCUUUUUUUUGUGUUCCGAAAAUUUUUUUUUUUUUUUUUUGUUGUUGUCGUUUCCUUUAUUAUUAAUUAUUUAUUAUUAUUGUUAUUAUUAUUAUUAUUAUUUUUUUUUUUCCUCGGGUCGGGGUAACUUAGUGUACCGUACGGCUAUCUAAACUUAACUCUCUCAUUACUGUAAAAAUGUAAAAUGUAAAAAGUGAAUCGAUGACUGAAGAGGAAACGUACGAUAUAAAUAAUGACAAUCGAUAUCCAGGUUGCCAUCCGCGAGGGAGAAAAAUUCUCUAGCUUGGAGCCGCGCAUACGCCGCCACUUUUCCCAUUGCCGCGAGGACCGUAUUCGUGUAUAUGUUGUGUUAGCAGCAGUAGCAGUAGUAGCACCAGCAGUAGCAGCGACGGCGGCAGUGUUGUUAGCAGCAGUAGUAGUAGCGGUAACAGCAGUAACAGCAGGAGCAGCAGCAGCAGCAGCAGUAACGUUUCAUCGUUUCUCUAACGUCAUUCACACACGACUACUACUACUACCACUACUACUAUCACUACUACUACUACUACUACACUACUACUUCUACUACUACUAUCACUACUACUACUAUGACAACGAUGACAAUGAUUGCGAAUAGUUACUUAUACUACUCUACUACUACACUACUAUUACUAUUACUCCUUACUACUACUACUAUUACUCUUUACUACAACUAUUACUACUACUAUCACCUAUUACAACGAUGACAAUGCAAUACAACUAUUACGACAGAACAACACAACGACGCGACACACACGCAAGCGCAUAAACCGAAGAACACUAUUAGAAACCUUUCGCGAUUAUGGUGUAGUAGUAGUGGUGGCGGUGCCUGUGGUUGUGGUGGUUGGUGGUUAUGGUUAUGUGGUACGAUAUGGUAUAUGGUAUAGAAGGAACGUGCGCGCGUCCAACCUCUCGAUCCUCUUACGAACACUACGAACGCAUAACGACACAGAAGAGGAAGGACAGAUAGCAAGAGAGAGAGAGAGAGAGAGAGAGAGAGAAAAUAAAAUUAAAAGAAAAAAAAAGAAAAAAAAAAUUGGAAUUUAUUCUAUGGUAUAUAUCCGUACGAAUUAAACGGGGAACGGACCGACAGCGCCGGCUCUAUUUCGCGCCAUGUCUGCAUUGCCGAAUUUCCGUUAGGACCAAUGAUUCCACUUCUUCGUGAUAUUACCAACUUUGAAUAAAAAAAUUUCUCUAACAGACUCUCACUCACUCACUAACUUACUAACUCACUCGUCCGCUCCUUCGUUCCUUCGCUCGCUCACCUUCUGACGUAUCGUUUUGAACGUCGUGUUUCUUACUAUACGAGAAAAAAAAGAGAGAGAGAGAAAGAGAUAUAGAUAUGUAUAUAUAGAGAUAGAGAGGGGGAAUAUUCAAGACUAAUAAAAGUUUUCGCACGAAUUUCAAAUGAUCCAUAACCUAAAAAUAAUAAAUAAUGUUAAACUAUUAAUCCGAAUAUCCUACGUCUUUGAUAAAUAUUUCUUUAUUAAAUUUCUUUUAUGAGAAACAAAUACGAUCUCUAAUUAACGCAGGUAUCGUUCUGAGUUAAUAAAAGUUGAAAAAAAGAAAAAGAAAAAAGAAAUUAUAUGUAAAAAGAAAAAGAUUAUAUAUUUUAUAUAUAAAAUAAAAAAAUAUUAUAUAAAAAUUAUAUACACAUACAUGUACAUAUGUAUAUGUAGAUAUAUAUAUAUAUAUAUAUAUAUAUAAAUAUAUUCUAGAAUCCCAAUGAAAUAUUUCGACCAAUCUCCGAACGAUGCAUUCGACUGUACCAAGUUACUAUCGCUGAUUGGUCGUGAACAAAUGUUAUGAACCAAUCAGGUUACGGCUGAGGUAAUGUAAUAAUACGAGUCGAAGAGGAUUACGACGCUUUAAUACGCUCAAAGUAAGCACGAUGUUCCGACCGCGUUACUACCAAAUCGUGUAUUUCCAAAUUAAUCCGAGAGUGGCGCUAUGAACGAACCAAUCCGCUCCUCUGCCCUCGCCAAUUCCCCCUUCUCACCGCCACCACCACCAUCGUCACUACCACCACCACUAAUUCGUGCAAAAACCCAUCUCGUACGCUGAUCUCACGCGGCUCUUUACUCUCGAUAUGAUCCUAUAUUUAACUGUACUUACAACGCCUUUGGUUGGUGAUCGUGGUGGUUUCCCUUAGUGGAAACCAGAAAUUUGAUACUACGUCACGGAAGGUGAGGCGAUCUCGCUCAUCGCCACAGCGUCCAAACUGGCCGCCGUGGAGGAUGUGGGUCCAAAGCGGCCCGAAGGGCAAACCAGACCAUCCGUCACCUCCCUGAAGGUCUCACCUACGGCGAGGGCGACUCUUCAAGCCCUAAGAACUAAUAGAAAUAGGAUAUCAUCAGCAACGACACCACCGUGCACUAAGGACGCCGAGACCAUCACAGGAAUGAGAGGAAAGAUAUCAAGUAUUAGAUUUUUCUGGUUUAAAUCGAAGCAAUUGAGGUUUUAUCGAAAUUGGCAAAGAUCCAGAAUGGCAGCCGGUCUAGCUUCUAUUUUCUUCGAUUCGAGUUGAUGAGCCGAAGACGCCUACUGUAUUAUGGAGUACUCCGUCGACUAGCGGUUCUAAAAGAACUCUUUGGUGUUCUUAGAUCGUGCGUAAAAAAGAAGAUUCGUUAAAUAGAUCUUAUAUGAAUAGUAGUGCUUAGAGGGAGAGAGACAGAGAGAGAGAAAGAGAGAGAGAGAGAGAGAGAGAGCGAGAGGGAAAGAGAGAGAGAGAGGGAAGUAAGUAAGUAAGGAAGGAAGGAAGGAAGGAGAAUUUAGAAAAAACAUAUGAAACGAACGUUUACGUGAACUGUUAUUUUUACAAAAAAAAAAAAAAAAGAAAAAAAAAAAAAAAAAAAGAAAAAAAGAAAGAAAAAGAAGAAAAAGGAACAGAAACAAAAAAAAGACGAAAGUAUCUAUAAUUAAGUAGUACAUCUGGCGUGUUCGUUCUUUUCUAAAAGAAUUAUCUUUUUCUACAAGAAUAAAAAAAAAAAGAGAGAGAGAGA
Molecule: RNA transcript, 3346 nt
Organism: Vespa velutina
Lineage: Eukaryota; Metazoa; Arthropoda; Insecta; Hymenoptera; Vespidae
Exons: 4
Source: RefSeq, a predicted model, not a curated record